RNAcentral lists this ribosomal RNA (478 nucleotides) under uncultured Planctomycetales bacterium. Its description in RNAcentral is "bacterial SSU rRNA". It matches the Rfam family "Bacterial small subunit ribosomal RNA", at positions 364 to 832 of the family's 1533-position model. Lineage: Bacteria; Pseudomonadati; Planctomycetota; Planctomycetia; Planctomycetales. The record is from RNAcentral.
UUUCGCAAUGCCCGAAAGGGUGACGAAGCGACGCCGCGUGCGGGAAGAAGGCCUUCGGGUUGUAAACCGCUGUCGGGAGUUAAGAAAUGUAGAGAUGUUAAUAGCGUCUUUGCUUGACUAAGGCUCCGGAGGAAGCCACGGCUAACUCUGUGCCAGCAGCCGCGGUAAUACAGAGGCGGCAAGCGUUGUUCGGAAUUAUUGGGCGUAAAGAGCACGUAGGCGGCCGUGCAAGUCGGUUGUGAAAGCCUUCCGCUUAACGGAAGAACAGCAGCCGAUACUGCAUGGCUUGAGUGCGGGAGGGGAGAGUGGAACUUCUGGUGGAGCGGUGAAAUGCGUAGAUAUCAGAAGGAACGCCGGCGGCGAAAGCGACUCUCUGGCCCGUAACUGACGCUGAGUGUGCGAAAGCUAGGGGAGCAAACGGGAUUAGAUACCCCGGUAGUCCUAGCCGUAAACGAUGGGCACUAAGUAGAGGGGUUUU